This 497-nucleotide ribosomal RNA is filed under the name uncultured bacterium. RNAcentral's name for it is "partial 16S ribosomal RNA". It matches the Rfam family "Bacterial small subunit ribosomal RNA", at positions 28 to 507 of the family's 1533-position model. The record is from RNAcentral.
GACGAACGCUGGCGGCGUGCCUAAUACAUGCAAGUAGAACGCUGAAGAGAGGAGCUUGCUCUUCUUGGAUGAGUUGCGCACGGGUGAGUAACGCGUAGGUAACCUGCCUUGUAGCGGGGGAUAACUAUUGGAAACGAUAGCUAAUACCGCAUAACAAUGGAUGACACAUGUCAUUUAUUUGAAAGGGGCAAUUGCUCCACUACAAGAUGGACCUGCGUUGUAUUAGCUAGUAGGUGAGGUAAUGGCUCACCUAGGCGACGAUACAUAGCCGACCUGAGAGGGUGAGCGGCCACACUGGGACUGAGACACGGCCCAGACUCCUACGGGAGGCAGCAGUAGGGAAUCUUCGGCAAUGGGGGCAACCCUGACCGAGCAACGCCGCGUGAGUGAAGAAGGUUUUCGGAUCGUAAAGCUCUGUUGUAAGUCAAGAACGGGUGUGAGAGUGGAAAGUUCACACUGUGACGGUAGCUUACCAGAAAGGGACGGCUAACUACGUG